This 431-nucleotide ribosomal RNA is filed under the name uncultured bacterium. RNAcentral describes it as "partial 16S ribosomal RNA". It matches the Rfam family "Bacterial small subunit ribosomal RNA", at positions 29 to 505 of the family's 1533-position model. The record is from RNAcentral.
AACGAACGCUGGCGGCAUGCCUAACACAUGCAAGUCGAACGAGACCUUCGGGUCUAGUGGCGCACGGGUGCGUAACGCGUGGGAACCUGCCCUUAGGUUCGGAAUAACUCCCCGAAAGGGGUGCUAAUACCGGAUAAUGUCUUCGGACCAAAGAUUUAUCGCCUUUGGAUGGGCCCGCGUUGGAUUAGCUAGUUGGUAGGGUAAAAGCCUACCAAGGCGACGAUCCAUAGCUGGUCUGAGAGGAUGAUCAGCCACACUGGGACUGAGACACGGCCCAGAAUUCGAAGGGGGGGAAGAGGGGGGAAAAUAGGAAAAGGGGGGGAAACCUGGUCCAGAAAGGGCGGGGGGGGGAUGGAGGCCUUAGGGGUGAAAAAGGCUUUUACCCGGGAUGAAAAAGGCAGUACCGGGAAAAAAAGCCCCCGCAAACCCCG